Molecule: long non-coding RNA, 154 nt
Organism: Lytechinus variegatus (green sea urchin)
Lineage: Eukaryota; Metazoa; Echinodermata; Echinoidea; Temnopleuroida; Toxopneustidae
Exons: 2
Source: RefSeq, a predicted model, not a curated record
UGCGUAAUUAUCGUCGGCAAGAAUGUUUUAUAGUAAAACUCUUCGAAGAAUCUUCAAUAAGUGGCCGGGAAAGAAGACAUUCGAUGAUGUGUACAGGCGAAAAGAAUCAGAACGCCGCUAUGCAAAACGAUUGGAGGAAGAAUAUAAGGAGUAA